AUUGUAGAGGAGAAUUUCUGCUUUGCUGGUCGCCCUGCAUUGGAUGUGAAGAGUGGUUGCUGUAAUUAUGGUGACUAGAACAUUUAGUAAGUUAUCUGAACCCUUAAAGCAUUAUACUUAUAAUAUAUGCUAAACAUGCUAUACCUCUUCUCUUUGCAGAUGGCUGCUGAUGUUCUUUCAAGAUAUCCUUUGGUUGUUGCGGCAUCCUACCCUUUCCAGAUGGAAUUGUUAUUGACACAGUAGCUCCAGACAUCUGCUGUAUUCUUGACAUUUCAG
This 276-nucleotide long non-coding RNA is filed under the name Populus trichocarpa (black cottonwood). RNAcentral describes it as "long non-coding RNA (PTRI_LNC002070)". The record is from RNAcentral. Lineage: Eukaryota; Viridiplantae; Streptophyta; Magnoliopsida; Malpighiales; Salicaceae.